This 369-nucleotide ribosomal RNA is filed under the name uncultured eukaryote. RNAcentral describes it as "partial 18S ribosomal RNA". It matches the Rfam family "Eukaryotic small subunit ribosomal RNA", at positions 592 to 975 of the family's 1831-position model. The record is from RNAcentral.
CAAUAGCGUAUAUUAAAGUUGUUGCAGUUAAAAAGCUCGUAGUUGGAUUUCUGGUCGGAAGCUCCUGUCCUCUGAUGAGCGUACAAGUGCGUCCUACCAUCCUUCUGUUAACCUUUAAGGCUUUCGCGGCUUUCUAGGGGCUCAGAUAUUUUACCUUGAGAAAAUUAGAGUGUUUCAGGCAGGCUAGCGCCGGAAUACGUUAGCAUGGAAUAAUGGAAUAGGACUUUUGCCUCUUCUGUUGGUCAUGAGGCUCGAGUAAUGAUUAAUAGGGAUAGUUGGGGGCAUUAGUACUUAACUGUCAGAGGUGAAAUUCUCGGAUUUGUUAAAGACUAACUUAUGCGAAAGCAUUUGCCAAGGAUGUUUUCAUUA